AGAGUUUGAUCCUGGCUCAGGAUGAACGCUGGCGGCGUGCCUAAUACAUGCAAGUCGAACGAGGUACCUUUAUAGCAAUAUAAGGGUAUCCUAGUGGCGAACGGGUGAGUAACGCGUGGGUGACCUGCCCCGAAGUGUGGGAUAACAGUCCGAAAGGACUGCUAAUACCGCAUGCGGCCAUCGGCUUUAGAAACCGAUGUCCAAAGCAGCAAUGCGCUUUGGGAGGGACCUGCGUCCCAUCAGCUAGUUGGUAGGGUAACGGCCUACCAAGGCGACGACGGGUAGGGGACCUGAGAGGGUGACCCCCCACAAUGGAACUGAAACACGGUCCAUACACCUACGGGUGGCAGCAGUAGGGAAUAUUGCACAAUGGGCGAAAGCCUGAUGCAGCAACGCCGCGUGCACGAUGAAGGUCUUCGGAUCGUAAAGUGCUUUUCUGGGAGAUGAGAAUGGACAGUAUCCCAGGAAUAAGUCUCGGCUAACUACGUGCCAGCAGCCGCGGUAAAACGUAGGAGGCGAGCGUUAUCCGGAUUCACUGGGCGUAAAGCGCGUGCAGGCGGUUCGGUUAGUUGGGCGUGAAAUCUCCUGGCUUAACUAGGAGAGGCCGUCCAAUACUGCCGGACUUGAGAACAGUAGAGGAAGAUGGAAUUCCCGGUGUAGUGGUGAAAUGCGUAGAUAUCGGGAGGAACACCAGUGGCGAAGGCGAUCUUCUGGACUGUUUCUGACGCUCAGACGCGAAAGCUAGGGUAGUAAACGGGAUUAGAGACCCCGGUAAUCCUAGCCGUAAACGAUGUGAACUUGGCGUCGGUGGCUUAAACACUAUCGGUGCCGUAGCUAACGCGAUAAGUUCACCGCCUGGGGACUACGAUUGCAAGAUUAAAACUCAAAGGAAUUGACGG
This 899-nucleotide ribosomal RNA is filed under the name uncultured bacterium. Its description in RNAcentral is "bacterial SSU rRNA". It matches the Rfam family "Bacterial small subunit ribosomal RNA", at positions 8 to 916 of the family's 1533-position model. The record is from RNAcentral.